This 439-nucleotide ribosomal RNA is filed under the name uncultured bacterium. Its description in RNAcentral is "partial 16S ribosomal RNA". It matches the Rfam family "Bacterial small subunit ribosomal RNA", at positions 339 to 795 of the family's 1533-position model. The record is from RNAcentral.
CUACGGGGGGCUCCAGUGGGGAAUAUUGCACAAUGGAGGAAACUCUGAUGCAGCAACGCCGCGUGGAGGAUGACACUUUUCGGAGCGUAAACUCCUUUUAUAUAGGAAGAAGAUGACGGUACUAUAUGAAUAAGCGCCGGCUAACUCCGUGCCAGCAGCCGCGGUAAUACGGAGGGCGCAAGCGUUACUCGGAAUCACUGGGCGUAAAGAGCGUGUAGGCGGAUUAAAAAGUCAGAAGUGAAAUCCUAUAGCUUAACUAUAGAACUGCUUCUGAAACUCUUAAUCUAGAAUAUGGGAGAGGUAGAUGGAAUUUCUGGUGUAGGUGUAAAAUCCGUAGAGAUCAGAAGGAAUACCGAUUGCGAAGGCGAUCUACUAGAACAUUAUUGACGCUGAGACGCGAAAGCGUGGGGAGCAAACAGGAUUAGAUACCCCAGUAGUC